Molecule: transfer RNA, 73 nt
Filed under: Bos taurus (domestic cattle)
Lineage: Eukaryota; Metazoa; Chordata; Mammalia; Artiodactyla; Bovidae
Also listed under: 1 other name
Rfam family: tRNA
About the family: Transfer RNA (tRNA) molecules are approximately 80 nucleotides in length. Their secondary structure includes four short double-helical elements and three loops (D, anti-codon, and T loops).
Source: Rfam by way of RNAcentral
CCUCUGAUAGUCCAGUGGUUGAGACUCUGCAUUUCUACUGCAGAAGGCAUGUGUUCAGUUCCCCUUCUGGGAA